CAUUCAAACCGGCGGUUCAACCAUUGAACCAGUAAAUCAGUCCGAUUUUAAUCAAACCAGUUGAAUUUUUGAUUAAAUUAUAGCAAAAUCCAAUGACUUUUAUUCUCUACUAGUGAAGUUAUCUACGCAGUCCGGUGGGUUAAAAAAGAAAGAAGAAUUGAUAAAGUAACAAUUUUCAAAAUUUUUGAGUUGCGAUGAGAUAUCGAUAAAUACAAAUAGUAUAUAAAAAAGAGUCUAAAGAGAUCUUAGUUCACUGCAAAAGUGAUUUGUUCAGAUGACAAUAGACCAUAUGAAUAUAUUAAUUAAAAAGUGAGCGAGUAGGAAGACGAAGUAUCGGACAGCGAUGGAGGGUGAAAAAACGAAGCAUUAAGAAGUGGAAAGGGCCGGAGGAGGCAAAGGUGAGGGAGGAAUUGUAUGUGGCAAAUUUAUGAAAAAUAAUGUAUAGACAUAGAUCAGCACACGGUAAUCUUAUAAAAAGUAAAACUUAAAAACUUAUAUCCACUUAAUUUGGUCUAGAAAUAAAUAUUUUAUAGUUAUGUAUGGUACUAAAAUAAUAAUAUAUGCAUAUUUUUAAAAAAAUAAUAAUUAAAUAUUUGUGACAUCAUGCUGUUGUCACAGAUGCAACCUGAUCCACUAGGGCAACCCAAUAAUAAUUUCGGGCCCUUAUUGGAUCCAUUAGGGCCCCAAGAAAUCCGGCCCGCUAACUCUUUUGGCUUGCUAAUUCUUUCACAAUAUUUUCUUAAUUACUGUUAGGAAACUUCCCCUUAAGCCUAGGAAUGUUAAUGGAUAUGGAUAUCCGAAAUUUUAUUCAAACUUGAAUCCAAACGAAGCGAAUUUAUAUGAUACUAAACGGAAUUCGAAUUCGAACUCCAACCCAAUGGAUUUAGAUUCAGGCAUGUAUUUUAUCUGUAUCGGACCCGAACCUGAACUCCAACCAAAUUCGAAUUGAUUUUACAUUAUAUAAUAUACAAAUAAAUAUUUGAUGUUAUAUAUAGAUUUUUAUUUUAAAAUUUUAAAUUUAAUGCAAUAAAUUUUGAAAUAUGGUAAAUAGAAAUAGGGUUAAUUGCAUAUAUGUCCCUGCAAAUAUAAUGAAUUGCACAUAUAUCCCUACAAAGUUCAAGUUUCAUAUAUUGUCAGUGCAAAAGUCUUGAUAUUUUCAAAUAUAUCUCUGUCGUUAGAAUCCGUUAGAAAAAUUUCGUUAAUCAUAGGUUAAAUACUUAACCGUAGUUAGUUAAUGAUGUGAAUCGAUCUUUUUAGCUCUUUUCAAUUAACAGUUGGGAUUUUUGGAGGGACGUAUUUGUGAUGCCAAAAAGAUCAUUUCACUUAUAAAAUAGUUAGUGCUUCAACGGUAACAAACCAGAGGGACAUAUUUGAAAAUAUUAGGACUUUUGUCUAGAUAAUAUAUGAAAGUUGAACUUUAUAGAGAUAUAUUUAUAAUUUAGUAUAUCUUACAAUUUGUAUGAAAUUAAUCUAUAAAAAUAAUUAUUCCGGUUCAUAUUUUCGGUAUCGGGUUCGGAUUUCGGAUUUUUUGAACGGAUUCGUGUUCGGAUAUGAAUUGUUAAAAUUCGAGUUCAAAAUUCGGGUUACGAUUUUUAAACACCUGCUCUGGCUACAUUGUCAACGGACGAGACAGCACAUGACAAAACGCUAAUGCAGAGAGAGACGUCCCGAGCGUCCGAGAACGAAUCACGAGGCAAGUUGACUUUUUUACUUUUUCUUUUUUGAUUAAUUUUAGGGAAAAUUUUAGAAAACUUCCAUGUGGUUUCUUAGUUUCUCACUUUAUUCUUCCUGUGAUUUAAAAUGUAUCAAAUUGCCCUUCUGUGGUUUCAUUUUUAUCUUUUCGAUAGCUUUUUCGUUAAUAUUUCAUUAAAUUAUAUAUAAAAAAACUUCAGAUACCCAUCUAGAUUUAUCAAAUAUUCACUUUAGUACCCUUUAAUUUUAACUUUAUCACUGAUUUAAGAAAAAAAAAUAAUAAAAUUGAUAAAAAAAAGAGAAAAAAGAAACCACAGGGGGGCAAAUUGAUACAUUUUAAACCACAGGGGGGCAAAGUGAGAAACUACGAAACCACAGGGGAUUUUUGAAGUUUUUUCUUAAUUUUAUACAUGUCAGUGUAAAUAUAGAAAAUUACAAAUAUAGCUCUACAAAAUUUUAUUUCAUAUGUUUUGUCUAUAAAAAUCUUAAUAUUUUUAAAUAUGUCUCUUUUGUUUGUUACCGUUAAAGUAUUAUAUAUUUUAUAAGUGAAAUGAUUUUUUUGCCAUCAGAAAUAUAUCAUUCUAAAAAUUUCAACUGUUAAUUAAAGAGGGGUAAAAAAUCAAUUUACCUUAUUAACUAACUACGGUUAAGUAUUUAAUCUAUAGUUAACUAAAUUUUUUUUCUAACGGAUUCUAAUGGAAGAGACAUAUUUAAAAAUAUCAGAACUUUUAUAAAAAUAAUAUAUAUAAAAAUCUCAAA
RNAcentral lists this long non-coding RNA (2451 nucleotides) under Ananas comosus (pineapple). RNAcentral's name for it is "long non-coding RNA (ACOM_LNC026326)". The record is from RNAcentral. Lineage: Eukaryota; Viridiplantae; Streptophyta; Magnoliopsida; Poales; Bromeliaceae.